GUUAAAUUAUUUUAAAAAAAAUAUUAAAUUUUCAUUUUAAAGAUAAACACAUUAAAUAGCAUAAGUUAUUUAAUA
This 75-nucleotide transfer RNA is filed under the name Semnoderes armiger. RNAcentral describes it as "tRNA-Glu". The record is from RNAcentral. Lineage: Eukaryota; Metazoa; Kinorhyncha; Cyclorhagida; Kentrorhagata; Semnoderidae.